AAUGACUUUUUAACAAUCGAUACCCGCCAUAUCUUAGGAUCUAGUUGCAUAUGUUGAGUGCUUUUACUUGCAUAGGCAGGAGCAGAGUGAUAAACUGUGAGCAUAGCAUGAAUUAUAAUCCUCUGUUGUUGAAGUUUGCAUACGACCUCUAAAUUUGUUGGGUUGAACCUAUUUUGAGGCCUUCUUUAUACCAGGAAAUAGGGCUACACUCGCCUAAGUGCAAGAGUUCUCUUCUUUUAAAACUCCUAAUAGCUUAUUGUAAACUCAAGUCUGAACCACCUUUAGAAAGUUUUUCAAGUCUGAACCACCUUUAGAAAGUUUUCUUAUUCAUGAAUAGCUGCAUGCUGUUGUGCACUUUUACCUUGUCUGUAAAGCCUCUCGCUGAUAC
RNAcentral lists this long non-coding RNA (388 nucleotides) under Malus domestica (apple). Its description in RNAcentral is "long non-coding RNA (MDOM_LNC009893)". Lineage: Eukaryota; Viridiplantae; Streptophyta; Magnoliopsida; Rosales; Rosaceae. The record is from RNAcentral.